RNAcentral lists this long non-coding RNA (1168 nucleotides) under Marmota monax (woodchuck). Lineage: Eukaryota; Metazoa; Chordata; Mammalia; Rodentia; Sciuridae. The record is from RNAcentral.
ACAUCAGUGGAUAUCAAUGCUUUAAUUUUCAUUGGGUUAGAUGGUGCCCACACCAUGAGACAAUGUGGGUUUAACAUUGAGUCUGUGGCAAAGACUUGUGAGAAGCUCUGGACAGUGAUUUGAGGCAUAACUGUUGGUCUGUGGGCCAGUGAAUCAAAGGAAGAAGAUAUUUUUUUUUAAAAAAAAUCAGCAGUCUGAAAUCUGUUACAAGCAAGAAGCAAUAUUGGUAAGGCAUGGAGGCAUGGAGGCAUGGAAAUGGUAUGGGUCUAGGUUUGCUUGAAAGGUGCUGGCCCAAGCAUUCCGCUACACUGUAGCCCCCUCUUGCCUGGCUACGACCCCCAUACCAGAGAUGUUUUGGGCAUCUGGUGCCCUGACCUGGGCACUUCACAUACCCCAUUGCCUGUUUAUUUAUAGCCACAAAUUGGAUUUAAGACUAGGUGAUCUUCAAACAGCUGUCAGAAUGGAUUUAUGAAGCUGAGGUCAAUAAUCUUAAUCCUAAAUCAAUAGUGUAACUCUGAUCCAGGCAGAGUAUUUUAGUAUGAUUAGGGCAUUUGUAUAACACCUCCACAUAGAUUAUUUCAUCUUUAUUUAAUAAUCUAAUAAGGAAUUAAAAAUAAAUAAAAUCUCAGGCCCAAAGAAUUUCAUAGACUUUCUCAGAGUCACAAAUCAAUGUGACAAAUCAAGAAUAGAAACACAGCUACUCUUCAGACUCUAUAUUGAAUCUCAAUAUAGUUUUAAUUUGCAUUUCUCUAAGUGCUAGAGAUGUUGAACUUUUUAAAUAUAUUUGUUGAGCAUUCAUAUUUCUUCUUCUGUGAAGUGUCUGUUUAGUUCCUUUGCCAAUUUAUUGAUUGUUUUUUAUGUUAAGUUUUUGAAUUCAUUAUAUAUCUUGGAAAUUAAUGCUGUAUCUGAAGUACAGUUGGCAAAGAUUUUUCUUUCAUUCUGUAGGCUCUCUCUUCAUGCUAUUGAAAAAUAUUUAAAAAAUAGAAACUACUGAUAAAAUUUUAAAAAGACUCCAUAUGGACUAUUUGCUGACUGAGAAGCUCUGUCAAUAUUUAAGCUAAGCUACCAUAAUUAAAAUGUCUCCAAAUAUGGGAGGUCAAAAGGAGAGAUAUUUCUUUAUCACACUACAUUUCACCGAUAUGGGUUACUUCACAGUUGAAAAGUACUC